GACGAACGCUGGCGGCGUGCCUAAUACAUGCAAGUAGAACGCUGAAGGAGGAGCUUGCUUCUCUGGAUGAGUUGCGAACGGGUGAGUAACGCGUAGGUAACCUGCCUGGUAGCGGGGGAUAACUAUUGGAAACGAUAGCUAAUACCGCAUAAGAGUAGAUGUUGCAUGACAUUUGCUUAAAAGGUGCAAUUGCAUCACUACCAGAUGGACCUGCGUUGUAUUAGCUAGUUGGUGGGGUAACGGCUCACCAAGGCGACGAUACAUAGCCGACCUGAGAGGGUGAUCGGCCACACUGGGACUGAGACACGGCCCAGACUCCUACGGGAGGCAGCAGUAGGGAAUCUUCGGCAAUGGACGGAAGUCUGACCGAGCAACGCCGCGUGAGUGAAGAAGGUUUUCGGAUCGUAAAGCUCUGUUGUAAGAGAAGAACGAGUGUGUGAGUGGAAAGUUCACACUGUGACGGUAUCUUACCAGAAAGGGACGGCUAACUACGUG
Molecule: ribosomal RNA, 495 nt
Filed under: uncultured bacterium
Lineage: Bacteria
Description: partial 16S ribosomal RNA
Rfam family: Bacterial small subunit ribosomal RNA
Source: RNAcentral